AGUGAACGCUGGCGGUAGGCCUAACACAUGCAAGUCGAACGGCAGCACAGUAAGAGCUUGCUCUUACGGGUGGCGAGUGGCGGACGGGUGAGGAAUACAUCGGAAUCUACUUUUUCGUAGGGGCUAACGGAGGGAAACUGACGCUAAUACCGCAUACGACCUACGGGUGAAAUCAGGGGAUCUUCGGAACUUUCGCGGUUUAAUUAUCCGAUGUCGGAUUAGCUAGUUGGCGGGGUAAAGGCCCACCAAGGCGACGAUCCGUAGCUGGUCUGAGAGGAUGAUCAGCCACACUGGAACUGAGACACGGUCCAGACUCCUACGGGAGGCAGCAGUGGGGAAUAUUGGACAAUGGGCGCAAGCCUGAUCCAGCCAUACCGCGUGGGUGAAGAAGGCCUUCGGGUUGUAAAGCCCUUUUGUUGGGAAAGAAAAGCAGCAGGUUAAUACCCCGCUGUUCUGACGGUACCCAAAGAAUAAGCACCGGCUAACUUCGUG
This 492-nucleotide ribosomal RNA is filed under the name uncultured bacterium. RNAcentral describes it as "partial 16S ribosomal RNA". It matches the Rfam family "Bacterial small subunit ribosomal RNA", at positions 29 to 507 of the family's 1533-position model. The record is from RNAcentral.